This is a long non-coding RNA of Vidua macroura (Pin-tailed whydah), 1568 nucleotides long. RefSeq lists it as uncharacterized. The record is from RefSeq and is a predicted model, not a curated record. The transcript is spliced from 3 exons. Lineage: Eukaryota; Metazoa; Chordata; Aves; Passeriformes; Viduidae.
AGACACCUAUCUGUGAGAAACUGCAAAAGUAGAGCCACCUAAAUGGAGAUGGGGAGGAGGUGGAAGAAAUAAAGCACAGACAAUGUUACCAAGUGCCCUAAAGACCCCUAACAUUUCAUCUUGGAAACAAAAUACAACCAGGCUGAUCGCCACACAUAGGUAGGUAGUGGCGAAGAGCAAGACCCAAGGGAAGGUAAUGAACAGCCCCUGAUAAGCUUUGACUGCAGAUGGAACAGUGGCAACAUCCUUUCUUGGGAAAAAGAAAGAAGCAAGAAGACCUUAAAGAAAAUGUUUCCUUGGAGUCCAGCAUGAGUUUUGCUCAGAACAGUCUUCUGGAGCAGAUAAGUCGGGCAGAGGUCAAACAGGGUUUGGUGGCGUCACUGAUGAGUUUCUGCUUCAGACAGGGACGUCAUAUGAGCUGUUAGGGAUAGAUUUUACUCCAGAUUCCCAGCAUUUCAUGCUUCUCUUGCACAUUUAAAGCCUAUCCCAAAGUUUUUCAGCUUAAAGACAUAUUCAAAUUGCCAUUUAUAGCUGAUGCCCUACUGCAUUCCUUUAUUCUACUGCAAGGCAAAGUCUUUGGCAAUGUCAGUGAGUCCCUGUUGGAAGGGAAGCCAGAAGAGGCUGCAGUGGAAGCUCUUUGUCCAUACAUUCCAGAGGAAGCCCUCAGGCUAUUUGCUUGCCCUGAAACAUUAAUCAAUUGUUAUGGUGUAGGGGCCAGCUGUGUAUUGGCCUUCUACUGAUGCUGUAACAACCCUAUCAGUGUUAUAAUAUGUUAGACCUAAUUAAUUUUCCCUGGUUGCCACCACCUGGUUCUGCUUAGAUCAAGCAUUAAUGAGUAGCUGACAGUAGUUAAUGAGCUUCUGCAGCAAGCAAUUCAAUUUUUUCAGUGACUAAAAUUACUUAUUUCUUCUUGGCACUAUGCUCCCCCUCCCUGGAAUAUUUGGCACCAUGAGCUCUCUAUUGGGUCAGGCAGGAUCCAUCUCCAUCAGUAAGAGCCUGCAGCAGUGCGUGCUGUCCAGAACUGCCCUCCUCCACUGAGCAGGGGAGCUGUGCUUUUGUCCACAGCUUUCCACACUGGUCUGCAGACCAGUUCAGGUCUUUUACUGGUGACAUGCCCAGCCAGCCAACCCAAGCAGUCCAUGCUCUGCAGCCAUGGUAUCACCUUCCUUGCAGUGAUGGGCUUUGUAAUAGUGCUUUUGGUGAGUCCUGCUCUGGCAGGGCUACUAUGGUAGGUCUUCCUCAGUUGUCCAAUAGAAUCAUGGAAUGGUUUGGAAUGGAAGUGAUUUUAAGAUUAUCCAGUUCCAAUCCCACUGCCAUAGGCACGGGCACCUUCCACUAGACCAGGUUAUUCAGAGCCCCAUCCAACCUGGCCUUGAAUACUUUCAGGGAUGGAAUUUUCAAUAUGGAAUGGUUUGGAAUGGAAGUGACUUUAAGAUCAUCCAGUUCCAAUCCCACUGUCAUAGGCAGGGACACCUUCCACUAGACCAGGUUGUUCAGAGCCCCAUCCAGCCAGGCCUUGAAUACUUUCAGGGAUGGAAUUUUCAAUAAUAAAGAUUUUGGUAUGGAUU